AACGAACGCUGGCGGCAUGCCUAACACAUGCAAGUCGAACGAGACCUUCGGGUCUAGUGGCGCACGGGUGCGUAACGCGUGGGAACCUGCCCUUAGGUUCGGAAUAACUCCCCGAAAGGGGUGCUAAUACCGGAUAAUGUCUUCGGACCAAAGAUUUAUCGCCUUUGGAUGGGCCCGCGUUGGAUUAGCUAGUUGGUAGGGUAAAAGCCUACCAAGGCGACGAUCCAUAGCUGGUCUGAGAGGAUGAUCAGCCACACUGGGACUGAGACGCGGCCCAGACUCCUACGGGAGGCAGCAGUGGGGAAUGUUGGACAAUGGGCGAAAGCCUGAUCCAGCAAGGCCGCGUGAGUGAUGAAGGCCUGAGAGUUGUAAAGCUCUUUUACCCAGGAUGAUAAUGACAGUACCGGGAGAAUAAGCUCCGGCUAACUCCGUG
This 433-nucleotide ribosomal RNA is filed under the name uncultured bacterium. RNAcentral's name for it is "partial 16S ribosomal RNA". It matches the Rfam family "Bacterial small subunit ribosomal RNA", at positions 29 to 507 of the family's 1533-position model. The record is from RNAcentral.